Molecule: ribosomal RNA, 119 nt
Organism: Gossypium arboreum
Lineage: Eukaryota; Viridiplantae; Streptophyta; Magnoliopsida; Malvales; Malvaceae
Source: Rfam
GGGUGCGAUUAUACCAGCACUAAUACACCGGAUCCCAUCUGAACUCCGCAGUUAAGCAUGCUUGGGCGAGAGUAGUACUAGGAUCGGUAACCUCCUGGGAAGUCCUCGUGUUGCACCCC